UGAGGAAUAUUGGUCAAUGGACGCAAGUCUGAACCAGCCAAGUAGCGUGCAGGAUGACGGCCCUAUGGGUUGUAAACUGCUUUUAUAUGGGGAUAAAGUGGGGAACGUGUUCCCUUUUGCAGGUACCAUAUGAAUAAGGACCGGCUAAUUCCGUGCCAGCAGCCGCGGUAAUACGGAAGGUUCGGGCGUUAUCCGGAUUUAUUGGGUUUAAAGGGAGCGUAGGCCGUUUGGUAAGCGUGUUGUGAAAUGUAGGAGCUCAACUUCUAGAUUGCACCGCGAACUGUCAGACUUGAGUGCCCACAACGUAGGCGGAAUUCAUGGUGUAGCGGUGAAAUGCUUAGAUAUCAUGAAGAACUCCGAUUGCGAAGGCAGCUUACGGGACCGCAACUGACGCUGAAGCUCGAAGGUGCGGGUAUCGAACAGG
RNAcentral lists this ribosomal RNA (424 nucleotides) under Verrucomicrobiota bacterium. Its description in RNAcentral is "Verrucomicrobia bacterium partial 16S ribosomal RNA". It matches the Rfam family "Bacterial small subunit ribosomal RNA", at positions 355 to 776 of the family's 1533-position model. The record is from RNAcentral. Lineage: Bacteria; Pseudomonadati; Verrucomicrobiota.